Molecule: long non-coding RNA, 750 nt
Filed under: Homo sapiens (human)
Lineage: Eukaryota; Metazoa; Chordata; Mammalia; Primates; Hominidae
Description: long non-coding RNA NONHSAT180535.1
Source: RNAcentral
GUUCCCAGAAGCUCCCCAGGCUCUAGUGCAGGAGGAGAAGGAGGAGGAGCAGGAGGUGGAGAUUCCCAGUUAAAAGGCUCCAGAAUCGUGUACCAGGCAGAGAACUGAAGUACUGGGGCCUCCUCCACUGGGUCCGAAUCAGUAGGUGACCCCGCCCCUGGAUUCUGGAAGACCUCACCAUGGGACGCCCCCGACCUCGUGCGGCCAAGACGUGGAUGUUCCUGCUCUUGCUGGGGGGAGCCUGGGCAGGACACUCCAGGGCACAGGAGGACAAGGUGCUGGGGGGUCAUGAGUGCCAACCCCAUUCGCAGCCUUGGCAGGCGGCCUUGUUCCAGGGCCAGCAACUACUCUGUGGCGGUGUCCUUGUAGGUGGCAACUGGGUCCUUACAGCUGCCCACUGUAAAAAACCAGAAUUUUCCUGACACUCUCAACUGUGCAGAAGUAAAAAUCUUUCCCCAGAAGAAGUGUGAGGAUGCUUACCCGGGGCAGAUCACAGAUGGCAUGGUCUGUGCAGGCAGCAGCAAAGGGGCUGACACGUGCCAGGGCGAUUCUGGAGGCCCCCUGGUGUGUGAUGGUGCACUCCAGGGCAUCACAUCCUGGGGCUCAGACCCCUGUGGGAGGUCCGACAAACCUGGCGUCUAUACCAACAUCUGCCGCUACCUGGACUGGAUCAAGAAGAUCAUAGGCAGCAAGGGCUGAUUCUAGGAUAAGCACUAGAUCUCCCUUAAUAAACUCACAACUCUCUGGUUC